GUCCUUUUCGUCUAGAGGUCUAGGACCGUGCCUUUUCAAGGCAUUAACAGGGGUUCGAUUCCCCUAAAGGAUA
RNAcentral lists this transfer RNA (73 nucleotides) under Gloeochaete wittrockiana. Its description in RNAcentral is "tRNA-Glu". It matches the Rfam family "tRNA". Rfam says of the family: Transfer RNA (tRNA) molecules are approximately 80 nucleotides in length. Their secondary structure includes four short double-helical elements and three loops (D, anti-codon, and T loops). Further hydrogen bonds mediate the characteristic L-shaped molecular structure. tRNAs have two regions of fundamental functional importance: the anti-codon, which is responsible for specific mRNA codon recognition, and the 3' end, to which the tRNAs corresponding amino acid is attached (by aminoacyl-tRNA synthetases). tRNAs cope with the degeneracy of the genetic code in two manners: having more than one tRNA (with a specific anti-codon) for a particular amino acid; and 'wobble' base-pairing, i.e. permitting non-standard base-pairing at the 3rd anti-codon position. The record is from RNAcentral. Lineage: Eukaryota; Glaucocystophyceae; Gloeochaetales; Gloeochaetaceae.